UUCCUACGGGAGGCAGCAGUGGGGAAUAUUGCACAAUGGGCGAAAGCCUGAUGCAGCGACGCCGCGUGAGGGAUGACGGCCUUCGGGUUGUAAACCUCUUUCAGUAGGGAAGAAGCGAAAGUGACGGUACCUGCAGAAGAAGCACCGGCUAACUACGUGCCAGCAGCCGCGGUAAUACGUAGGGUGCGAGCGUUAUCCGGAAUUAUUGGGCGUAAAGAGCUCGUAGGCGGUUUGUCGCGUCUGUCGUGAAAGUCCGGGGCUUAACCCCGGAUCUGCGGUGGGUACGGGCAGACUAGAGUGCAGUAGGGGAGACUGGAAUUCCUGGUGUAGCGGUGGAAUGCGCAGAUAUCAGGAGGAACACCGAUGGCGAAGGCAGGUCUCUGGGCUGUAACUGACGCUGAGGAGCGAAAGCAUGGGGAGCGAACAGGAUUAGACACCCUGGUAGUCCAUGCCGUAAACGUUGGGCACUAGGUGUGGGGACCAUUCCACGGUUUCCGCGCCGCAGCUAACGCAUUAAGCGCCCCGCCUGGGGAGUACGGCCGCAAGGCUAAAACUCAAAUGAAUUGACGGA
Molecule: ribosomal RNA, 571 nt
Filed under: uncultured bacterium
Lineage: Bacteria
Description: bacterial SSU rRNA
Rfam family: Bacterial small subunit ribosomal RNA
Source: RNAcentral